CAUACCUAUUCGAAGGGAUAGGGUCGGUUCGGCCGGAUUUUACACAAGUGUUGCAUGGCUGUCGUCAGCUCGUGUCGUGAGAUGUUGGGUUAAGUCCCGCAACGAGCGCAACCCUCAUCCUUAGUUGCUAUCAGGUAAUGCUGAGUACUUUAAGGAAACUGCCAGUGAUAAGCUGGAGGAAGGUGGGGAUGAUGUCAAGUCAUCAUGGCCUUUAUGGAGUGGGCUACACACGUGCUACAAUGGUGUCUACAAUGGGCUGCAAGGUGCGCAAGCCUAAGCUAAUCCCUAAAAGACAUCUCAGUUCGGAUUGUACUCUGCGACUCGAGUACAUGAAGUUGGAAUCGCUAGUAAUCGUGGAUCAGCACGCCACGGUGAAUACGUUCUCGGGUCUUGUACACACUGCCCGUCACGCCAUGGGAAUUGGUUUCACUCGAAGCU
This 438-nucleotide ribosomal RNA is filed under the name Wolbachia endosymbiont of Bombus hypocrita. RNAcentral's name for it is "bacterial SSU rRNA". It matches the Rfam family "Bacterial small subunit ribosomal RNA", at positions 992 to 1428 of the family's 1533-position model. Lineage: Bacteria; Pseudomonadati; Pseudomonadota; Alphaproteobacteria; Rickettsiales; Anaplasmataceae. The record is from RNAcentral.